This 484-nucleotide ribosomal RNA is filed under the name uncultured bacterium. Its description in RNAcentral is "bacterial SSU rRNA". It matches the Rfam family "Bacterial small subunit ribosomal RNA", at positions 28 to 526 of the family's 1533-position model. The record is from RNAcentral.
GACGAACGCUGGCGGCGUGCUUUACACAUGCAAGUCGAGCGGUAAGGCCCUUUCGGGGGUACACGAGCGGCGAACGGGUGAGUAACACGUGAGUAAUCUGCCCUUCACUUGGGGAUAAGCACCGGAAACGGUGUCUAAUACCCGAUACGACCAAUCCACGCAUGAGGUGUUGGUGGAAAGUUUUUUCGGUGGGGGAUGUGCUCGCGGCCUAUCAGCUUGUUGGUGGGGUAAUGGCCUACCAAGGCUUCGACGGGUAGCCGGCCUGAGAGGGUGACCGGCCACACUGGGACUGAGACACGGCCCAGACUCCUACGGGAGGCAGCAGUGGGGAAUAUUGGACAAUGGGCGAAAGCCUGAUCCAGCAACGCCGCGUGAGGGAUGACGGCCUUCGGGUUGUAAACCUCUUUCAGCGCAGACGAAGCGAAAGUGACGGUAUGCGCAGAAGAAGGACCGGCCAACUACGUGCCAGCCGCCGCCGUAAAAC